This 433-nucleotide unclassified non-coding RNA is filed under the name soil metagenome. RNAcentral's name for it is "partial contains 5.8S ribosomal RNA, internal transcribed spacer 2, and large subunit ribosomal RNA". The stretch from base 1 to 120 matches the Rfam family "5.8S ribosomal RNA", at positions 35 to 154 of the family's 154-position model. The record is from RNAcentral.
GAUGAAGAACGUAGCGAAAUGCGAUACGUAAUGUGAAUUGCAGAAUUCAGUGAAUCAUCGAAUCUUUGAACGCAUAUUGCGCUCUCUGGUAUUCCGGAGAGCAUGCUUGUUUGAGUAUCAGUAAACACCUCAACUCCCUUUUCUUUUUUGAAAUGGGAGCUGGACUUGAGUGAUCCCAACACUUUUCUCACUGGAAAGUGGCGGGUCACUUGAAAUGCAGGUGCAGCUGGACUUUUCUCUGAGCUAUAAGCAUAUCUAUUUAGUCUGCCUAAAAAACAGAUUAUUACCUUUGCUGCAGCUAACAUAAAGGAGAUGAGUUCUUGUGCUGACUGAUGCAGGAUUCACAGAGACAGCUUUGCGGCUGACUUUGUAAACUCGAUCUCAAAUCAAGAAAGACUACCCGCUGAACUUAAGCAUAUCAAUAAGCGGAGGA